RNAcentral lists this ribosomal RNA (543 nucleotides) under uncultured bacterium. RNAcentral's name for it is "bacterial SSU rRNA". It matches the Rfam family "Bacterial small subunit ribosomal RNA", at positions 355 to 896 of the family's 1533-position model. The record is from RNAcentral.
UGAGGAAUAUUGGUCAAUGGACGGAAGUCUGAGCCAGCCAAGUAGCGUGCAGGAUGACGGCCCUAUGGGUUGUAAACUGCUUUUGUAUGGGGAUAAAGUUAGGGACGUGUCCCUAUUUGCAGGUACCAUAUGAAUAAGGACCGGCUAAUUCCGUGCCAGCAGCCGCGGUAAUACGGAAGGUUCAGGCGUUAUCCGGAUUUAUUGGGUUUAAAGGGAGCGUAGGCUGGAGAUUAAGUGUGUUGUGAAAUGUAGACGCUCAACGUCUGACUUGCAGCGCAUACUGGUUUCCUUGAGUACGCACAACGUUGGCGGAAUUCGUCGUGUAGCGGUGAAAUGCUUAGAUAUGACGAAGAACUCCGAUUGCGAAGGCAGCUUGCGGGAGCACAACUGACGCUGAAGCUCGAAGGUGCGGGUAUCAAACAGGAUUAGAUACCCUGGUAGUCCGCACAGUAAACGAUGGAUGCCCGUUGUUAGUUCACUUAGGAAUUAGCGACCAAGCGAAAGCAUUAAGCAUCCCACCUGGGGAGUACGCCGGCAACGGUG